GACGAACGCUGGCGGCGUGCUUAACACAUGCAAGUCGAACGGAAAGGCCCUGCUUUUGUGGGGUGCUCGAGUGGCGAACGGGUGAGUAACACGUGAGUAACCUGCCCUUGACUUUGGGAUAACUUCAGGAAACUGGGGCCAAUACCGGAUAGGAGCUCCUGCUGCAUGGUGGGGGUUGGAAAGUUUCGGCGGUUGGGGAUGGACUCGCGGCUUAUCAGCUUGUUGGUGGGGUAGUGGCUUACCAAGGCUUUGACGGGUAGCCGGCCUGAGAGGGUGACCGGCCAAAUGGGGACGAGGAUACGGCCCAGACUCUUAGGGGGGGCAGCGGUGGGGAAUAUUGCACAAUGGGCGGAAGCCUGAUGCAGCAACGCGGCGGGCGGGAUGACGGCCUUCGGGUGGUAAACCGCUUUGGCCUGUGACGAAGCGUGAGUGACGGUAAUGGGUAAAGAAGAACCGGCUAACUACGG
RNAcentral lists this ribosomal RNA (467 nucleotides) under uncultured bacterium. Its description in RNAcentral is "partial 16S ribosomal RNA". It matches the Rfam family "Bacterial small subunit ribosomal RNA", at positions 28 to 506 of the family's 1533-position model. The record is from RNAcentral.